RNAcentral lists this ribosomal RNA (428 nucleotides) under uncultured prokaryote. RNAcentral's name for it is "bacterial SSU rRNA". It matches the Rfam family "Bacterial small subunit ribosomal RNA", at positions 355 to 774 of the family's 1533-position model. The record is from RNAcentral.
UGGGGAAUCUUCCGCAAUGGGCGAAAGCCUGACGGAGCAACGCCGCGUGAGUGAAGAAGGCCUUCGGGUCGUAAAGCUCUGUCUUCAGGGACGAAAAAGCAGGGGAGUAAUAUGCCCUUGCCGUGACGGUACCUGAGGAGGAAGCUCCGGCUAACUACGUGCCAGCAGCCGCGGUAAUACGUAGGGGGCGAGCGUUGUCCGGAAUUACUGGGCGUAAAGGGCGCGUAGGCGGGGGUGUAAGUAAGGUGUGAAAACUCCAGGCUCAACCUGGAGACUGCACUGUAAACUGGAUCUCUUGAGGGCAGGAGAGGAAAGUGGAAUUCCUAGUGUAGCGGUGAAAUGCGUAGAUAUUAGGAGGAACACCAGUGGCGAAGGCGACUUUCUGGACUGUACCUGACGCUGAGGCGCGAAAGCGUGGGGAGCGAACA